CCACAUACCUGGCAGAGGGAUACCAUGAUAACGAAGGUGGUUUUCCAAUGAUAAGCUCUUCCAUGGCACUAGAGAUGCAUUGACGAUCCUUAUGAUUUUUCACAAGUGGAGGAAACUUGACAAAAUAAUUUGUAGUAAUGGAGGACUGUAUUUGCCUUUUCCCUUA
Onychomys torridus (southern grasshopper mouse) is the source of this 166-nucleotide small nuclear RNA. RefSeq annotates it as U1 spliceosomal RNA. The transcript has a single exon. NCBI's taxonomy places the organism in Eukaryota, Metazoa, Chordata, Mammalia, Rodentia, Cricetidae. The record is from RefSeq and is a predicted model, not a curated record.